AGAACGAACGCUGGCGGCAUGCCUAAUACAUGCAAGUCGAACGAACUCUUCGGAGUUAGUGGCGCACGGGUGCGUAACGCGUGGGAAUCUGCCCUUGGGUUCGGAAUAACAGUUGGAAACGACUGCUAAUACCGGAUGAUGACGAAAGUCCAAAGAUUUAUCGCCCAGGGAUGAGCCCGCGUAGGAUUAGCUAGUUGGUGAGGUAAAGGCUCACCAAGGCGACGAUCCUUAGCUGGUCUGAGAGGAUGAUCAGCCACACUGGGACUGAGACACGGCCCAGACUCCUACGGGAGGCAGCAGUAGGAAUAUGGACAUGGGCAAAGCCUGAUCCAGCAA
This 336-nucleotide ribosomal RNA is filed under the name uncultured soil bacterium. Its description in RNAcentral is "bacterial SSU rRNA". It matches the Rfam family "Bacterial small subunit ribosomal RNA", at positions 26 to 394 of the family's 1533-position model. The record is from RNAcentral.